This 803-nucleotide unclassified non-coding RNA is filed under the name uncultured Prochlorococcus sp. RNAcentral's name for it is "partial 16S-23S ribosomal RNA intergenic spacer; may also contain 16S ribosomal RNA and 23S ribosomal RNA". The stretch from base 1 to 93 matches the Rfam family "Bacterial small subunit ribosomal RNA", at positions 1441 to 1533 of the family's 1533-position model. Lineage: Bacteria; Bacillati; Cyanobacteriota; Cyanophyceae; Synechococcales; Prochlorococcaceae. The record is from RNAcentral.
UUGUGGAGGAGGACGCCGAAGGUGGGGCUGAUGACUGGGGUGAAGUCGUAACAAGGUAGCCGUACCGGAAGGUGCGGCUGGAUCACCUCCUAACAGGGAGACAUAAACUGAUUAUGAUGUCUGAAAAUUUUUUAGGCCUUAAUCCUGUCACCUUAGGUCGAUCGGUACCUCAGAUUUAGAACUAAACGAUGAGUAAUCAUUUAUAAAUUUAGUUUUGAGUUUCAGUUCCUAAACUUGUCUAGGUCACACCCAACAAACUUUCUCCUGGGCUAUUAGCUCAGGUGGUUAGAGCGCACCCCUGAUAAGGGUGAGGUCCCUGGUUCAAGUCCAGGAUGGCCCAUUCGUUGUUGGGGGUAUAGCUCAGUUGGUAGAGCGCCUGCUUUGCAAGCAGGAUGUCAGCGGUUCGAGUCCGCUUACCUCCACUGAUCAACUACCUGAUAACUAUGUAUGGAGAUUGUUAUUUUGUGAAUGUGAUUUAGAUGUUGUUCCUCUGAACAGAACCUAGUUUCCUAUCAUUCCUUUAUUUGAUAUUGGUUGAUAAGACGCUGGGCUCACUGCACUUCUAAAGAUUUUCAGUUUGCUUCAGUAGAACCUUGACAACUGCAUAGAAAAGUCUAGAAAAAUAAAGCAUCUCAUUGAUGCGUAAAUUAGUUACUCAGUUAAUUCCGGGCUUCUAUUUUUACGAAACAAUUCUUGAGUUAGAGCAUAAUUCCAAUUAAUUAAAUCAAUAAAAAAUCUUUUUUUAUUGAUUAGCUAAGUUUGACUUUAGCAAAUUAAUUAGGAAUUUAUUGGUCAAGCUACAA